RNAcentral lists this small RNA (134 nucleotides) under Salmonella enterica. RNAcentral's name for it is "RtT sRNA". It matches the Rfam family "RtT RNA". Rfam says of the family: This family represents a bacterial cis-regulatory element known as RtT RNA. The exact function of RtT is unknown although it is thought that it may be involved in changing the cellular response in relation to amino acid starvation. The record is from RNAcentral. RNAcentral also lists the same sequence under 8 other names. Lineage: Bacteria; Pseudomonadati; Pseudomonadota; Gammaproteobacteria; Enterobacterales; Enterobacteriaceae.
UGUAUCUGAGGUCUGACGAGGAUGAGAACCUCCGGGGGCAAGAGGUUCGACCCGAGCGAAGCGAGAGAACGUUGCGCCAGCAACGGCCCGCAGGGCGAGCCACGCAGUGGCGAGUCAUCCUCUAUCACCGGCAG